CUGGACUCAAGUGAUCUCCCUGCCUUGGCCUUCUAAAAUGUUGGGAUUAUAGGUGUAAGCCAGAACACCCAGCCUAUGCCUUUGUUGAAACUCUGAAAGCAGAAUGGCAGAAAGUAGCUUUAAGUGAAUCAAAAGAAAUGAUUUUUUCUUAUUUUUUUUUUUAAGAUCUCAAAGUUUGUAAUUUUUUUCUUAACCAAAUGCAAUAUUGUUAAAUAGAUGGUGUUUCUGAAUAUAACUUUUAGUAAGUUAUCUUUAAUAUUUCUGUUUCCUUAGCAAGAUGAGAGGUCUUCAAUGACAAAUAAUUUUCUUUUAAUCUUGGUAGGACUUGUCAGUUCUGCUGGCAUAAACAUAGGGUUUUAAAUUGAAAACCAGGAUUGUUUACUAGAUAUAGAUAGAGAUUUACUAUAAAAUUCUAUUAUCCAAGACUUCUAAAAGAUUGACAUAUCUUUGGUUAUUAUUAAUACUCCCAUGUCUGCUCUUAUAGUUUUCUUUUUUUAUUGCUUAAUGCUUCACUUUUCUUACUUUUCUCUGGAAAAGCAUUCAGUAUGUAGUAUUAGAAUGCAUAACCUUGUGAGCAUAUUUAUAGCAUCUCAUUUUUUAAUACUGUGAUGAAUGAUUAAUCAUAAAGGGUUCAUCUUUUUUAUCCUAUGCAAUAUCUAAUGUAUCCAUGAUUUAAUACUUUGAAGGUUUUUGGAGGGAUGUUUAUUUGAAAGUGGAAAUGUUUAUUUUUUUAAAUCCUUAUUCUAAGAUUUAAAAAAUCCUUUUGCUCAUGCAUACGAGCCCUCUCUUCUGUUUAAGACUCAAGAGGACUUCGAAAAGAAACGUAAGUGUUGAGGAGUUUUCCUCUACUCAUCUUGGGUUCAUUGACUAGGAUUCUGAAAAGUAGACAGACAAAAGUCAAAUUAACAAGAGAAAAACAACAACAAAAAAAGCUAAUAAGAAGCUUAUUAGCGGGCAUUAUGCAACUGGGGGUACUCAGUGGAUGAGUAACCCAAAGAAGGGGUUAGGACUUGGGGAAUAUGAAGCAUCUUAACAAAAGAAAAAUACAUUUGUAGAGGAAUUACAAAGGAAAGAAAAAUGCUUCUGGUUUUUAGGGACAGCAGCUGUGAAAAGGCAAGUAUAUGGUAGAAACCAAUGAAAGAAGGUUAUUUUAGCAAGGUUUGCUGCAUAGAUUCCACUGAUGCUUUCUCUAGUCUAACGAGUUUAGAACUGUCUCCAGUGAUUAAGAAUACUCUUGCUUUUUCUGAUAGAGAGGGGAGGAAAAGCAGAUUUUCUUUGUUUCUACUCCUCAAUUGCUCUCAACUCAAAGUAAUGCUGAGAGAAUGUGUCCAUACUGAAUAGUUUCAAUAAAUGGCAUGUAUUUGUAAAUACUCACACAGAAACACACACACACACACACGUUUCUUUCUGUUUGCAUGUGCAUACAGGUGUAAAACACACAAAUCAACCCUAAUACUUUGAAGUCAAGAGGAGGAUCCACAAAGAAUUCAAAUAACUUAUUGAAAUUGCAGGAGAAGGAAUGUAAAAGGAAAGUUCAUCUUUUCACCUGUAAGACUUCUAUGGGCUUGCCUGUAAAUAUACACCACUUGUCAUUUGAAUUGCUGAGAAAAGAAAUUCAUUCUACAAGCUUCAACAAUGGGAGCUUUUCCCCUAAUUAGUAGAAUGAUGUAUCAUGAUCAUUUCAGGUGUUGUAUUUGUUAGGCUUUUAAAUUUGUCAGCUAAAUAUUCUCUGUAUCUAGUUUACACAGCUGAAUUUUAUAAAUUAUUUGUGCAAAUGUUUAGGUUUUUAACAGAAAAUUAAAAGGCAUUUGGAUGUAUUUAAUUCACUUUCCCAGAAAAUAUAACAUUUUAUUUACAUCAUACAGAGUAACAAUAAAUAUCACUUAUGUAUAUGUA
Homo sapiens (human) is the source of this 1896-nucleotide long non-coding RNA. RefSeq lists it as uncharacterized. Lineage: Eukaryota; Metazoa; Chordata; Mammalia; Primates; Hominidae. The record is from RefSeq and is a predicted model, not a curated record. The transcript is spliced from 2 exons.